RNAcentral lists this ribosomal RNA (255 nucleotides) under uncultured bacterium. Its description in RNAcentral is "partial 16S ribosomal RNA". It matches the Rfam family "Bacterial small subunit ribosomal RNA", at positions 524 to 776 of the family's 1533-position model. The record is from RNAcentral.
UACAGGGGAUGCAAGCGUUAUUCGGAAUUAUUUGGCGUAAAGCGUUUGUAGGUUGAAAAUCAAAUCUUUUGUAAAAUCUUUGAGCUCAACUUAAAGGCUGCAAAUUAGACACUAAUUUUCUUGAGAUGACAAAAGGCAAAGGGGAUUUCCAGUGGAGUGGUGAAAUAUUUUGAGAUUGGAAGGAACACCGACAGCGAAAGCACUUUGCUUGGGUUAUACUGACACUGAGAAACGAAAGCGAGGGUAGCGAGCAGG